GGGAGCCCAGGAGGCGGGGCGCCUGUGGGAGUCGUGGAGGGAACUUUCCCAGGCCCCGAGGCGGAUCGGGUAUUGAGUCCAUGGAGCGAGCUGAGAGCUAGAGAUCUAAAGCUUAAGGACUAUGGAGUGGAUCUCAUUGAAGUUUCAGACAAUGGAUGUGGGGUAGAAGAAGAAAACUUUGAAGGCUUAACGAUGUCACCAUUUCUACCUGCCACGCAUCGGCGAAGGUUGGGACUCGACUGGUGUUUGAUCACGAUGGGAAAAUCAUCCAGAAAACCCCCUACCCCCACCCCAGAGGGACCACAGUCAGCGUGAAGCAGUUAUUUUCUACACUACCUGUGCACCAUAAGGAAUUUCAAAGGAAUAUUAAGAAGACGUGCCUGUUUCCCCUUCGCCUUCUGCCGUGAUUGUCAGUUUCCUGAGGCCUCCCCAGCCAUGCUUCCUGUACAGCCUGCAGAACUGACUCCUAGAAGGACCCCACCCCCCUCCCCCAACCCCUGCUCCCAGGAGGACACGUGAUCACUGUAUUCAGCUCCAUCAAGAAUGGUCCAGGUUCUUCUAGAUGAUCUGCACAAAUGGUUCCUCUUCUCCUUCCUGGUGUCUGCCAUUAGCAUUGGAAUAAAGUUCCUGCUGAAAAUCC
This is a long non-coding RNA of Homo sapiens (human), 640 nucleotides long. Ensembl annotates it as PMS1 homolog 2, mismatch repair system component pseudogene 4. Its record names the gene PMS2P4. Lineage: Eukaryota; Metazoa; Chordata; Mammalia; Primates; Hominidae. The record is from Ensembl.